Molecule: ribosomal RNA, 253 nt
Filed under: uncultured bacterium
Lineage: Bacteria
Description: partial 16S ribosomal RNA
Rfam family: Bacterial small subunit ribosomal RNA
Source: RNAcentral
GACGGAGGGUGCAAGCGUUGUUCGGAAUUACUGGGCGUAAAGCGCGGGCAGGUGGCCUUUUAAGUCCUUUGUGAAAUUCCGGAGCUCAACUCCGGAUGUGCAUAGGAUACUGGAAGGCUAGAGACUGGUAGAGGCGAGCGGAAUUCCUAGUGUAGCGGUGAAAUGCGUAGAUAUUAGGAGGAACACCAGUGGCGAAGGCGACUUACUGGACUGUAACUGACGCUGAGGCGCGAAAGCGUGGGGAGCAAACAGG